Non-coding RNA from Chrysemys picta bellii (western painted turtle), 1593 nucleotides. The record is from RefSeq and is a predicted model, not a curated record. Lineage: Eukaryota; Metazoa; Chordata; Testudines; Emydidae.
AUGGUAUCACUAAUGUAUAAAUACAGGGGAGUCGCAUCUUACACGGGGGCUAGGUUCUGAAGUCAGCGCAUAGGGCGAAAAUCACAUAUAGUCGAACGCUCAUUGCGUGGAAUGGCGGGCAGAAUCGCCCGCACUACAGUUGGCAUCUUACUGAACACAGCCAGCGCGUUACCAGUUCACUUUGCAACCAACGUGGGGAUCAUCUGGUCUUCAGGAAUCUGAUGAAUCACACACAGCCUCUCAAAGGGCUCUCUGGUGUGCGGCUGCUGGCCUGGCAUCCUCGGCUUCCAUAACCCUUCUGUGUCACUCCUGGGGGAACGCGCAGAAUUCCUGUCCUGCAUCAUUUUGUAUUUUCCUGUGUAAAAUCUAGUGUUGCAGUUCCGCCUUUUGCCCACCAGAGGCCGUUGUGACACCAGAACAGGCAUCAGCCUGAACCCAGCCGGUUGUUCUGGUGCCACAGCGGCCUCUGGUGGGAAAAAGGUGGAACUGCAACACUUUGGGGGCAGAUUGCAGGAAAAUACAAAACUUGUUCCAUACUUCUCCCCCAAUACCUAACUUCCCUCUUCCUCAGCUCCUCUGUUACCCCUGACGCCCCACAGCCUUUGCUCUGCUUCUGACAGGUGCAGAAAAUACAGGUCUGUGUUGUAGUUUAAAUGAAUUACACACAUUCUAUAUUUAUAUGCAUAGUAGGGAAUCUAUUCCCCCCCCAAAAAAAAUACCAGCAUUUUUUUUCUCGGUCUGUAUUGUUUUAGACAUACUUGCAGACAAAGAUAUUUUAAAAUAAAUUAUCAAAAUAAUUGAAACUGGCGAGAUUAUAUUGUGUUAUUUUGACAAAUAAAAUAUGCAGAAUUGUGUAGAAUUUUCAAAUAUUGGGUGCAGAAUUUUUAAUUUUUUUGGCACAGAAUUCCCCCAGGGGAACCGUGUGCAGCCUCCUCUCUGGCAGCCUCUGCCGGCUUUAGCGCCAAAAUUCACCUGUGUUCUUUUCUUUUUCUGCUGCCUGCAAUCCGAACAGCUCCAGCUUCCCAAGGCUUUCACUGUUUUCACUCAUCUUGCUGCUUUUCCGUCCCUACUUCCUUUUUCCAAAAUACGCAAACAGAAAAUUCUAUACUAUAGAAUACUAUAAUCUCCAAUUCCUAAAGGAGUGACUUACAAAUAGCAAUUUUCCCUUUUUAACUCCUGAAGGAACAACUUAAUCCUCUCUGGGCCAGAGGAAGAGACACCAAGUUUCCCUCUGUAUUACUCUGUCUGCUACCACCGAGGGUUCAUACACUAAUUAUACAAAUCCUUUCCCAGAUCAGAGUGAGAAACACUAAGUUCUCCUUUUUAGCUCAGUUUUGCUACGGCUGAGGGUGUAUGUACCUCUACAACACAAUUUAAACCUAAACUUCUAUAUCCUUCAGAGUUUGGUUAAUUAACUGAAAGUUUACACUCUUUUUCCUCUAGUGCCAGGCUUGCUAAAGCUGGAGGUGUGCACACCAGUUUUAUAAUAACUGUGGAUUCUAUGCUUGCUCCCCCGUUCGCAUUCUCCACCAAAAUGUUGUACUUAAAGUCCUGCACAGGAUCUUUUCAGGGGGAAUAAGACAAAACGCCACA